RNAcentral lists this ribosomal RNA (290 nucleotides) under Enterobacter sp. FB3Eb. RNAcentral's name for it is "partial 16S ribosomal RNA". It matches the Rfam family "Bacterial small subunit ribosomal RNA", at positions 432 to 714 of the family's 1533-position model. Lineage: Bacteria; Pseudomonadati; Pseudomonadota; Gammaproteobacteria; Enterobacterales; Enterobacteriaceae. The record is from RNAcentral.
ACUUUCAGCGGGGAGGAAGGUGUUGUGGUUAAUAACCGCAGCAAUUGACGUUACCCGCAGAAGAAGCACCGGCUAACUCCGUGCCAGCAGCCGCGGUAAUACGGAGGGUGCAAGCGUUAAUCGGAAUUACUGGGCGUAAAGCGCACGCAGGCGGUCUGUCAAGUCGGAUGUGAAAUCCCCGGGCUCAACCUGGGAACUGCAUUCGAAACUGGCAGGCUAGAGUCUUGUAGAGGGGGGUAGAAUUCCAGGUGUAGCGGUGAAAUGCGUAGAGAUCUGGAGGAAUACCGGUG